Rhipicephalus microplus (southern cattle tick) is the source of this 1135-nucleotide long non-coding RNA. RefSeq lists it as uncharacterized. Lineage: Eukaryota; Metazoa; Arthropoda; Arachnida; Ixodida; Ixodidae. The record is from RefSeq and is a predicted model, not a curated record.
GAUGGUCGGUAGGUAUUGGUGGUAGCGAAGACUCCCCUAACACAGACACCACUAUGAUUUCUAACCUUAAUGGACACUUAAGAGAUUCAAUGUCGAGCUACCCUAGCAAGUACAAAUACUCAGGGGGCCCACUGGUUCCGUAUUUCCGCAAACAUGACUCAGCUAGCCAAUUUUCUAGCACAUACGGCUUUGAUGUAGGCCAUAAUGGCGGACGUGGAAAAAGCGACAACUCCCGUUUUCCUGUUACCACUGGGUACAGGGCUAUACCCGCCAGUUUUGCAUCAAACCCUGGCUACCACACCAAGAAUCCACUCUAUCGUUCCUACGGCUCUCGUGGUUAUCUCAGUCAAAGUACCAGCCGCAGAGAUUUUAGUGUUUAUUCAGGAACCUAUGACAACAGAGGUCACAAAAGCUACCAGCCGUAUUUCGUACCUCGCUCAGCUAGCGAAUCAUCUAUCUCCAGCCAAGACAACGGAGCAUGGAAUCCAAGAGGUGCAUAGCAGGGCAUCAGCUGGUAUCCUACUUCUGACAGCAGUUAGUACUUGAAUCGUCGCUGACAUGUGCUCAGGAACGUAGCACGAUGAUGACGGGCACUUUUUGUAACAGUGGUGGCUGGCAAGGACUAAACUCUGUAGAUGAUGCCACCGAAUGGGAAAACAGUGAUUAUGGUACAAUGCUGACAGCCAGUAGAGCAAGCGAAUCGGAUGCAGCCUUCAGUAGUAGCAAUACACAGCCUGGCAUAGGAGUAGCACUAAAAAUUGGUGCACGCUUCGCUAUUGAUGGAAAUAGAUUAGAGAUUGGGCACACAAGUGUACACGGCUACUUCAACCUCAAGAGAGUCUCGCGGAUUCCCAGUUAACCCGGGUGAAUUACCAAGUGAACAGAGGUUUACUGCGGCCGUUCUUAACGGACGCUUGCAUAUUCCUGCUGCUUAUGCAGCCACGGGAUCUCAUGAAAUCUUUGCUGAAUAUCCUAACAUACAAGAGGCUAGAUCAAAAAAGCUUUUGAAACUGGUGGUGGUAUGAAAGAGCUUGAAAGUGAGAGAGUUCACAGCCCCUUAAUUGAUGAAAGAGCCCCAUUUGGCCAAACCUCUGAAACACCUGAACCAUCCGACAUCACAGACUUGAGAAUCACU